RNAcentral lists this ribosomal RNA (305 nucleotides) under uncultured bacterium. Its description in RNAcentral is "bacterial SSU rRNA". It matches the Rfam family "Bacterial small subunit ribosomal RNA", at positions 337 to 656 of the family's 1533-position model. The record is from RNAcentral.
UCCUACGGGGCGCAGCAGUGGGGAAUAUUGGGCAAUGGGCGCAAGCCUGACCCAGCAACGCCGCGUGAAGGAAGAAGGCUUUCGGGUUGUAAACUUCUUUUCUCAGGGACGAAGCAAGUGACGGUACCUGAGGAAUAAGCCACGGCUAACUACGUGCCAGCAGCCGCGGUAAUACGUAGGGGGCGAGCGUUAUCCGGAUUUACUGGGUGUAAAGGGAGCGUAGACGGUUCUGCAAGUCUGAAGUGAAAGCCCGUGGCUUAACCGCGGAACGGCUUUGGAAACUGUGGAACUGGAGUGCUGGAGAG